GAACAUGCAGUGAUCCUCGUCAUAACAAAUGUAACUGGCAAAAAGUUGCUAUAUUAACUUUGUUAACACUGUUGAUGAUACGUGUGUCUCUGUGAUGAUGCACCGGGUGCCUGGCGUUCGGAUUUGUAGUUUGCAAGCCGAAUUAUGUUGCGUUGCUUGCAAUAAAAGUGCGCCCCCCCCCCAUUAUGCGGCCCGUAAGUGAGGCAAGUUGACGUGCUGGGUGUUCAUAGUCCAUGUGACUGCUUUCUAUAAAUGGACUGCAAUGCACAAGUGGCCAUCCAUGACACAUACAAUAUCUUACAAGUUGUUCCCACGAUACCCCUUCUUUUGAUUUGACAUCGUUGCGGGGUCAUCACAGGGCAUCCCCGAGAAUCCUCCCAGCCAAGGAUGCAGACGAAAACGAUGGUAAGUCAUGAGCUCAUGUCACUGUGGAGAAAUCGGGCAGAGUGGUUGUGAGGACAGCAAGAAAGGAUGUACCUGGUUGCAUAAACACUUUGCACUCAACUAAAAGUGCCCUGUAUUAAAGCUGAGUGAAAGUUUGCUCAACACGGGUAUAGUAACAUUUUUGUUUCACCUGAACACAGAAAGUCAAAGCAGCUGUGUGAUUGCAAGUACAUGUGGAGAGUCAGCCAAGAGCACAGGUAACGUACAUUGUACAGAGUGAAGAUGUGCUCUGUAGAGGAACAUUUCUUCACAUAAAUGUGAGACUCUAAAUACACAUACUGUAGCUAUGUAUAGGAAAGUGUUAAGUGUCCAGCACAUAAUCUGCAAGGUUGCUGCAGAGUACAGCCAACAUCAGUGCAGAGUAGUGCAUAGCCAGAAAAAUAUUUCAGGAAGGGUUCUAUGAGAACUUUAAAUGGGGAGGAGUAUUUUCCCUUUGAUUUCUCCUGCCCAAAUGCACUUCCAAAGGACAGUUUUGAGGGAAGGGGGAGUUGAGCCCCGCACAAGGGUGUUUAACUUGAUUAUGACUUUACACAACUUCAUUAUGAAGUAGGGGCGCAGUGAACUGUAACAUUUGCUGCUUUUUUUUCUCUCAGUAUUAAAAUGGACAGAGUGAGAGACAGUGUUACUGAUGGACUUAUACAGUCGUUAUAGUAUACAGAUAGGACCAUACAAAAAGUUCAAAAACAAAAAGCAAAUGUUUGAGUGAAUCCACCUCUUUCAAAAAAGUGAGCGCGCAUGCGUCAGUCCCUUGCCUCUUCCCUGCUCCGCGCGUGACCUCGAACUGGUUAGAAAAGUACCGCGCGUCUCGUAGAGUGCCCGACUCCAUGCCGGCGAGUUGACUUUCGUAUGGUUGCACAAAUUACUAUCGGGACGACAAGCGGGUUCGUCUUUUUAGAUUUCCCUCGGAGAAAUUAUAUCCGGAGAGACGGAAAGCGUGGAUCCGAGCUGUAAAAAGAGUCAAGAAAGACGGUACGCCUUGGAAGCCCACGAUACAUUCGAGGAUUUGCGGCGCACACUUUGACAGGUGAGAAUGUAAACUACCACUCGUUUGAUUGGUAUUUAUCUCAAUGUUAGCAUCUCAGAGUAACACUGAUGAUUCAACGAUUCAGGGCUUCAUUUUUGCUCAUUUAAGGUGAACCGCACAAUGACAAAAGCCAUAUCGAUUACGUGCCGACAGUUUUCAUCUACAAAAAGAAAAACAACAAUGCAGCUCUGGAUAGGUAUCAGCGCCGAAAACGAAGAAUGACGCUAAAAGGUAAUGGCCUUCUAACGCACGGUUAAGAGUAAAGGUUGAUUAUGGCAAAGCCUAACAGAUGUAGUCAUUCUUGCUUCUUCUUGCGUCUGACACGAACGUCAUGUUUCAGGACAAAACACUAUCACCUGUGGCCGUCAGAAGAGUUUGAUCAGUGGCGUGAGGCUCAGGUUCAAGGGAGUCAGACAGCCCUGCCACAAAUACACAAGCAAACAACCUUACUCAAGACACGCAGCUGUGCUCAAGGAUGGAGUGCAUGCCAGUGGUGGUUGAGCCUGAGCUUGAGCCUGUGCAUUUUUCUUCAGACAUUGAAGCCCCUACAAGUGCUCAGCCCGUGCCAGAGGAUAUUGGGGAACCAGAACAGGACCUGCGUGGGAAGCUGGCACGCUUGCAGCAGGAAGUCCUAACACUCACAGCGUGUAACACCUACCUUCAAGAGAGCUUAGUGGUAUUAAGUCUUGUCUUUUGAGCUUAGAACUGAUACAAAACGAUGCAGAGUGCCGGUACUGCACUGGGUUCCCAAAC
This is a long non-coding RNA of Ornithodoros turicata, 2221 nucleotides long. RefSeq lists it as uncharacterized. The record is from RefSeq and is a predicted model, not a curated record. NCBI's taxonomy places the organism in Eukaryota, Metazoa, Arthropoda, Arachnida, Ixodida, Argasidae. The transcript has 3 exons.